This 89-nucleotide transfer RNA is filed under the name Lactobacillus crispatus 214-1. RNAcentral's name for it is "tRNA-Leu". It matches the Rfam family "tRNA". Rfam says of the family: Transfer RNA (tRNA) molecules are approximately 80 nucleotides in length. Their secondary structure includes four short double-helical elements and three loops (D, anti-codon, and T loops). Further hydrogen bonds mediate the characteristic L-shaped molecular structure. tRNAs have two regions of fundamental functional importance: the anti-codon, which is responsible for specific mRNA codon recognition, and the 3' end, to which the tRNAs corresponding amino acid is attached (by aminoacyl-tRNA synthetases). tRNAs cope with the degeneracy of the genetic code in two manners: having more than one tRNA (with a specific anti-codon) for a particular amino acid; and 'wobble' base-pairing, i.e. permitting non-standard base-pairing at the 3rd anti-codon position. The record is from RNAcentral. Lineage: Bacteria; Bacillati; Bacillota; Bacilli; Lactobacillales; Lactobacillaceae.
UGCCCGCUUGGCGGAAUUGGCAGACGCGCAGCGUUCAGGUCGCUGUUUAGGUGACUAAGUGAAGGUUCGAAUCCUUUAGCGGGCAUCAU